AAGGGUUUAGCUUAAUUAAAGUGAUUGAUUUGCGUUCAUUUGAUGUAGGAUAAAGUCUUGCAGCCCUUA
RNAcentral lists this transfer RNA (69 nucleotides) under Myotis lucifugus (little brown bat). Its description in RNAcentral is "tRNA-Ala". It matches the Rfam family "tRNA". From Rfam's summary of the family: Transfer RNA (tRNA) molecules are approximately 80 nucleotides in length. Their secondary structure includes four short double-helical elements and three loops (D, anti-codon, and T loops). Further hydrogen bonds mediate the characteristic L-shaped molecular structure. tRNAs have two regions of fundamental functional importance: the anti-codon, which is responsible for specific mRNA codon recognition, and the 3' end, to which the tRNAs corresponding amino acid is attached (by aminoacyl-tRNA synthetases). tRNAs cope with the degeneracy of the genetic code in two manners: having more than one tRNA (with a specific anti-codon) for a particular amino acid; and 'wobble' base-pairing, i.e. permitting non-standard base-pairing at the 3rd anti-codon position. RNAcentral also lists the same sequence under 3 other names. Lineage: Eukaryota; Metazoa; Chordata; Mammalia; Chiroptera; Vespertilionidae. The record is from RNAcentral.